CCCUUAGAUGUUCUGGGCCGCACGCGCACUACACUGAUCAGUGCAACAAGCAUCCGUCCUUGGCCGACAGGCCCGGGCAAUCUUUGAACGCUGAUCGUGAUGGGGAUAGACUUUUGCAAUUUUUGGUCUUCAACGAGGAAUUCCUAGUAAACGCAAGUCAUCAACUUGCAUUGAUUACGUCCCUGCCCUUUGUACACACCGCCCGUCGCACCUACCGAUUGAAUGGUCCGGUGAAGCCUCCGGAUUGGCGUGCACCCUCGGGUGCUGCCGAGAAGUUGGCUAAACCUUACCAUUUAGAGGAAGGUGAAGUCGUAACA
RNAcentral lists this ribosomal RNA (317 nucleotides) under uncultured eukaryote. Its description in RNAcentral is "partial 18S ribosomal RNA". It matches the Rfam family "Eukaryotic small subunit ribosomal RNA", at positions 1470 to 1796 of the family's 1831-position model. The record is from RNAcentral.